RNAcentral lists this ribosomal RNA (252 nucleotides) under uncultured bacterium. Its description in RNAcentral is "partial 16S ribosomal RNA". It matches the Rfam family "Bacterial small subunit ribosomal RNA", at positions 523 to 776 of the family's 1533-position model. The record is from RNAcentral.
GAUGGGGGGGGGCAAGUGUUCUUCGGAAUGACUGGGCGUAAAGGGCACGUAGGCGGUGAAUCGGGUUGAAAGUGAAAGUCGCCAAAAAGUGGCGGAAUGCUCUCGAAACCAAUUCACUUGAGUGAGACAGAGGAGAGUGGAAUUUCGUGUGUAGGGGGUGAAAUCCGUAGAUCUAUGAAGGAACGCCAAAAGCGAAGGCAGCUCUCUGGGUCCCUACCGACGUUGGGUGCGAAAGCAAGGGGAGCGAACAGG